This 752-nucleotide ribosomal RNA is filed under the name uncultured bacterium. RNAcentral describes it as "bacterial SSU rRNA". It matches the Rfam family "Bacterial small subunit ribosomal RNA", at positions 8 to 796 of the family's 1533-position model. The record is from RNAcentral.
AGAGUUUGAUCCUGGCUCAGGAUCAACGCUGGCGGCGUGCCUAAUGCAUGCAAGUCGCACGGGACACCUUCGGGUGUUCAGUGGCGAACGGCUGAGGAACACGUGCGUAUCUGCCUUUCCGUGGGGAAUAACGGGUGGAAACACCCGCUAAUACCGCGUACGCUUGCUUCGGCAAGGAAAGCCUUCGGGCGCGGGGAGAGGAGCGCGCGGCCCAUCAGGUAGAUGGCGGGGUAAUGGCCCACCAUGCCGGUGACGGGUCGCUGGUCUGUGAGGAUGACCAGCCAGACUGGGACUGCGACACGGCCCAGACACCUACGGGUGGCAGCAGCAAGGAAUCUUCGGCAAUGGGCGCAAGCCUGACCGAGCAACGCCGCGUGGAGGACGACGGCCUUCGGGUUGUAAACUCCUUUUCUGUGGGAUGAUACGGACAGUACCGCAGGAAUAAGCCCCGGCUAACUCUGUGCCAGCAGCCGCGGUAAUACAGAGGGGGCAAGCGUUGUCCGGACUUACUGGGCGUACAGCGCGCGCAGGUGGUCGGCUAAGUUCGUGGUGACAGCGUGCGGCUCAACCGCACACGGUCCAGGGAGACUGGCUGGCUAGAGGCAUCGAGAGGGAUACGGAAUACCCGGUGGAGCGGUGAAAUGCGUAGAGAUCGGGUGGAACACCAGCGGCGAAGGCGGUAUCCUGGCGAUGACCUGACACUGAGGCGCGACAGCGUGGGGAGCAAACGGGAUUAGAUACCCUAGUAGUCC